GAAGACUCCGCCCACUGACAGCUCUAAUAUGCCCUCUCUGUUAGGCUGAAAUAAUACGUUCAGUUUAAACAGGUGUCAGUCACACGUACCAUUGACAGAAGAACAACUGCAGGAACAGCUCCCAUGGCAGUGUAGCACAGUAAGUCUAGUAUCUUGU
This is a non-coding RNA of Pimephales promelas (fathead minnow), 157 nucleotides long. Lineage: Eukaryota; Metazoa; Chordata; Actinopteri; Cypriniformes; Leuciscidae. The record is from RefSeq and is a predicted model, not a curated record.